Long non-coding RNA from Mizuhopecten yessoensis (Yesso scallop), 759 nucleotides. RefSeq lists it as uncharacterized. The transcript has 3 exons. The record is from RefSeq and is a predicted model, not a curated record. NCBI's taxonomy places the organism in Eukaryota, Metazoa, Mollusca, Bivalvia, Pectinida, Pectinidae.
GACCAGGAUUGUGAUCCAGCCGAAACCUCAUCCCUCAAACGUCGUGUCCACCAUCCGGUCUCACGGCAAUACAGGAAGGCAAUUUACGAGAGAGCAAAAUACACAAUGGACAGGUGCAACUCAGCGAUAAAGAGGAGAGGGAGGGGGUAGAACGGGGGAUGGGUGAAGGUGAGGACGAGGCCCUGGGGCUACAGAGGAGGUAGAACAAAGUAUGAGUAGGAGUAGAGAGGAUUUUACUUCUUCGAAAAAGGCCAGGGUAAUACCAGGACCACCCAGAAGUGUUCACCAGGAUUAAAUGGUUGUAAAUGAGUUAUUUUGGUCGUUGAUGAUCUACAUCGAGCUGACGUAAUUCAAACCUACAAAAUACUAAACAACAUGGACAUUCUUGAGAAGGGCAAAAUAUUCCACGAAGCUGAAGACAACCGAACCAGGGGGCACUCCAGGAAACUAUUCAAAAGACCAUGCAGACUAAACAAAUAUGGUUACUUCUACAGCAACAGAGUGAUAAAUAUGUGGAACUCUCUAACAGAGGAGGUAGUAAUAUCUCCAACGCUCAACACCUUCAAGUCACGGCUCAACAGCCACUGGAAACAUCAUCCGACAAAAUUCAAGCCAUUUCUUUAUUAGUUACAUAUAUAUAUAUAUGCAAGUCUAAUCAGUCAAAAGUGACAAUGUAACAAAUUGACUGUUUGGCACUGACCAUGAUUUUUAAAAUCAUAUGUUUUUAACCACCAAAUUGUAAAAGGAGAGGAUUUAACA